GGGCAGCUACCCAGCAAUGGGAUGCGAAUCUCGAAAGCCUGUCUCAGUUCGGAUUGGAGGCUGAAACCCGCCUCCAUGAAGUUGGAUUCGCUAGUAAUCGCGCAUCAGCCAUGGCGCGGUGAAUACGUUCCCGGGCCUUGUACACACCGCCCGUCAAGCCAUGGGAGCCGGGGGUGCCUGAAGUUCGUGACCGCAAGGAGCGACCUAGGGCAAAACUGGUGACUGGGGCUAAGUCGUAACAAGGUAUC
RNAcentral lists this ribosomal RNA (248 nucleotides) under uncultured bacterium. RNAcentral describes it as "partial 16S ribosomal RNA". It matches the Rfam family "Bacterial small subunit ribosomal RNA", at positions 1244 to 1500 of the family's 1533-position model. The record is from RNAcentral.